CCUACGGGAGGCAGCAGUGGGGGAUAUUGCACAAUGGGGGGAACCCUGAUGCAGCGACGCCGCGUGGGUGAAGAAGCGCCUCGGCGCGUAAAGCCCUGUCAGCAGGGAAGAAAAUGACGGUACCUGAAGAAGCAGCCCCGGCUAACUACGUGCCAGCAGCCGCGGUAAUACUAAGGGGGAAAGCGUUCUCCGGAUUUAAUGGGUGUAAAGGGGGCGCAGCCGGCGAUGCAAGCCAGGAGUGAAAGCCCGGGGCUCAACCCCGGGACGGCUCUGGAAACUGGGUGGCUGGAGUGCAGGAGGGGCAGGCGGAAUUCCUGGUGUAGCGGUGAAAUGCGUAGAUAUCAGGAGGAACACCGGUGGCGAAGGCGGCCCGCUGGACUGCAACUGACGUUGAGGCCCGAAAGCGUGGGGAGCAAACAGGAUUAGAUACCCCGGUAGUC
This 440-nucleotide ribosomal RNA is filed under the name uncultured bacterium. Its description in RNAcentral is "partial 16S ribosomal RNA". It matches the Rfam family "Bacterial small subunit ribosomal RNA", at positions 338 to 795 of the family's 1533-position model. The record is from RNAcentral.